This 88-nucleotide small nucleolar RNA is filed under the name Leersia perrieri. RNAcentral describes it as "snoRNA snoZ266". It matches the Rfam family "Small nucleolar RNA Z266". From Rfam's summary of the family: Z266 is a member of the C/D class of snoRNA which contain the C (UGAUGA) and D (CUGA) box motifs. Most of the members of the box C/D family function in directing site-specific 2'-O-methylation of substrate RNAs. Lineage: Eukaryota; Viridiplantae; Streptophyta; Magnoliopsida; Poales; Poaceae. The record is from Rfam by way of RNAcentral.
UAUUGGCAGGAGUGAUGAAUCAAUUAGAUGUACGAAGAUACUUUAUGAGCUAAAACUUUGAGGCAUACAUUUGUCUGACUUGCCAAUC